Transfer RNA from Felis catus (domestic cat), 73 nucleotides. It matches the Rfam family "tRNA". From Rfam's summary of the family: Transfer RNA (tRNA) molecules are approximately 80 nucleotides in length. Their secondary structure includes four short double-helical elements and three loops (D, anti-codon, and T loops). Further hydrogen bonds mediate the characteristic L-shaped molecular structure. tRNAs have two regions of fundamental functional importance: the anti-codon, which is responsible for specific mRNA codon recognition, and the 3' end, to which the tRNAs corresponding amino acid is attached (by aminoacyl-tRNA synthetases). tRNAs cope with the degeneracy of the genetic code in two manners: having more than one tRNA (with a specific anti-codon) for a particular amino acid; and 'wobble' base-pairing, i.e. permitting non-standard base-pairing at the 3rd anti-codon position. The record is from Rfam. Lineage: Eukaryota; Metazoa; Chordata; Mammalia; Carnivora; Felidae.
ACCUGGCUGGCUCAGUAGGUAGAGCAUGGGACUCUUGAUCUCAGAGUUGUAAGUUCAAGCCCCAUGUUGGGCA